GGGCCCGUAGCUCAGUUGGUUAGAGCAGGGGACUCAUAAUCCCUUGGUCGCAGGUUCGAGUCCUGCCGGGCCCA
Molecule: transfer RNA, 74 nt
Filed under: Gemmatimonadota bacterium
Lineage: Bacteria; Pseudomonadati; Gemmatimonadota
Also listed under: 3 other names
Description: tRNA-Ile
Rfam family: tRNA
About the family: Transfer RNA (tRNA) molecules are approximately 80 nucleotides in length.
Source: RNAcentral